Molecule: ribosomal RNA, 445 nt
Filed under: uncultured bacterium
Lineage: Bacteria
Description: bacterial SSU rRNA
Rfam family: Bacterial small subunit ribosomal RNA
Source: RNAcentral
ACUCCUACGGGAGGCAGCAGUGGGGAAUAUUGCACAAUGGGCGCAAGCCUGAUGCAGCCAUGCCGCGUGUAUGAAGAAGGCCUUCGGGUUGUAAAGUACUUUCAGCAGUGAGGAAGGUGGUAGUGUUAAUAGCACUAUCAUUUGACGUUAGCUGCAGAAGAAGCACCGGCUAACUCCGUGCCAGCAGCCGCGGUAAUACGGAGGGUGCGAGCGUUAAUCGGAAUUACUGGGCGUAAAGCGCAUGCAGGUGGUUUGUUAAGUCAGAUGUGAAAGCCCGGGGACUCAACCUCGGAAUUGCAUUUGAAACUGGCAGACUAGAGUACUGUAGAGGGGGGUAGAAUUUCAGGUGUAGCGGUAGAAAUGCGUAGAGAUCUAGAAGGAAUACCGGUGGCGAAGGCGGACCCCCUGGACAGAUACUGACACUCAGAUGCGAAAGCGUGGGGAA